RNAcentral lists this ribosomal RNA (253 nucleotides) under uncultured bacterium. RNAcentral describes it as "partial 16S ribosomal RNA". It matches the Rfam family "Bacterial small subunit ribosomal RNA", at positions 524 to 776 of the family's 1533-position model. The record is from RNAcentral.
UACAGAGGUCUCAAGCGUUGUUCGGAUUCAUUGGGCGUAAAGGGUGCGUAGGCGGCGCGGUAAGUCGGGUGUGAAAUCUCGGAGCUUAACUCCGAAACUGCAUUCGAUACUGCCGUGCUUGAGGACUGGAGAGGAGACUGGAAUUUACGGUGUAGCGGUGAAAUGCGUAGAUAUCGUAAGGAAGACCAGUGGCGAAGGCGGGUCUCUGGACCUUACCUGACGCUGAGGAGCGAAAGCGUGGGGAGCGAACAGG